This 404-nucleotide ribosomal RNA is filed under the name uncultured bacterium. Its description in RNAcentral is "bacterial SSU rRNA". It matches the Rfam family "Bacterial small subunit ribosomal RNA", at positions 430 to 826 of the family's 1533-position model. The record is from RNAcentral.
GCACUUUAAGCAGUGAAGAAGACUCCGUGGUUAAUACCCGGAGACGAUGACAUUAGCUGCAGAAUAAGCACCGGCUAACUCUGUGCCAGCAGCCGCGGUAAUACAGAGGGUGCAAGCGUUAAUCGGAAUUACUGGGCGUAAAGGGAGCGUAGGUGGCUCGAUAAGUCAGAUGUGAAAUCCCCGGGCUCAACCUGGGAACUGCAUCUGAUACUGUCGUGCUAGAGUAUGUGAGAGGAAGGUAGAAUUCCAGGUGUAGCGGUGAAAUGCGUAGAGAUCUGGAGGAAUACCGAUGGCGAAGGCAGCCUUCUGGCAUAAUACUGACACUGAGGCUCGAAAGCGUGGGUAGCAAACAGGAUUAGAUACCCUGGUAGUCCACGCCGUAAACGAUGUCUACUAGUCGUUGG